Small nuclear RNA from Echinops telfairi (small Madagascar hedgehog), 162 nucleotides. Its record names the gene U1. It matches the Rfam family "U1 spliceosomal RNA". Rfam says of the family: U1 is a small nuclear RNA (snRNA) component of the spliceosome (involved in pre-mRNA splicing). Its 5' end forms complementary base pairs with the 5' splice junction, thus defining the 5' donor site of an intron. NCBI's taxonomy places the organism in Eukaryota, Metazoa, Chordata, Mammalia, Afrosoricida, Tenrecidae. The record is from Ensembl.
AUACUUACCUGGCAGGGGAGAUACCAUGAUCACAAAGGUGGUUUUCCCAGGGCAGGGCUUAUCCAUUGCACUCCGGAUGUACUGGCCCUGUAGUUUCCCCAAAUGUGGGAAACACGACUACAUAGUUUGUGGUAGUGGGGACUGCGUUAAUGCUAUCCCCUU